CGGGAAGUGGGUUAGUUGGCUAUACCGCCAGGUUCGGGACUUGGAGGUCGCGGGUUCAAAUCCCGCCUUCCCGA
RNAcentral lists this transfer RNA (74 nucleotides) under Treponema sp. RNAcentral describes it as "tRNA-Pro". It matches the Rfam family "tRNA". From Rfam's summary of the family: Transfer RNA (tRNA) molecules are approximately 80 nucleotides in length. Their secondary structure includes four short double-helical elements and three loops (D, anti-codon, and T loops). Further hydrogen bonds mediate the characteristic L-shaped molecular structure. tRNAs have two regions of fundamental functional importance: the anti-codon, which is responsible for specific mRNA codon recognition, and the 3' end, to which the tRNAs corresponding amino acid is attached (by aminoacyl-tRNA synthetases). tRNAs cope with the degeneracy of the genetic code in two manners: having more than one tRNA (with a specific anti-codon) for a particular amino acid; and 'wobble' base-pairing, i.e. permitting non-standard base-pairing at the 3rd anti-codon position. The record is from RNAcentral. Lineage: Bacteria; Pseudomonadati; Spirochaetota; Spirochaetia; Treponematales; Treponemataceae.